Molecule: ribosomal RNA, 465 nt
Filed under: Vreelandella stevensii
Lineage: Bacteria; Pseudomonadati; Pseudomonadota; Gammaproteobacteria; Oceanospirillales; Halomonadaceae
Description: partial 16S ribosomal RNA
Rfam family: Bacterial small subunit ribosomal RNA
Source: RNAcentral
CCUACGGGUGGCAGCAGUGGGGAAUAUUGGACAAUGGGCGAAAGCAUGAUCCAGCCAUGCCGCGUGUGUGAAGAAGGCCUUCGGGUUGUAAAGCACUUUCAGUGGGGAAGAAAGCCUUGGGGCUAAUACCCUCGAGGAAGGACAUCACCCACAGAAGAAGCACCGGCUAACUCCGUGCCAGCAGCCGCGGUAAUACGGAGGGUGCGAGCGUUAAUCGGAAUUACUGGGCGUAAAGCGCGCGUAGGCGGUCUGAUAAGCCGGUUGUGAAAGCCCCGGGCUCAACCUGGGAACGGCAUCCGGAACUGUCAGGCUAGAGUGCAGGAGAGGAAGGUAGAAUUCCCGGUGUAGCAGUGAAAUGCGUAGAGAUCGGGAGGAAUACCAGUGGCGAAGGCGGCCUUCUGGACUGACACUGACGCUGAGGUGCGAAAGCGUGGGUAGCAAACAGGAUUAGAUACCCCGGUAGUC